RNAcentral lists this long non-coding RNA (1375 nucleotides) under Macaca nemestrina (pig-tailed macaque). RNAcentral describes it as "lncRNA (ENSMNEG00000046041.1)". The record is from RNAcentral. Lineage: Eukaryota; Metazoa; Chordata; Mammalia; Primates; Cercopithecidae.
AACCAGGCUGGCUUCAUAAGAAGAAAAAGUGCUUUGUCUCCCUUCUGGCUGGGAUGCCCCAAGGCAUUAGACUCUAUCUGCAGCUGAGCUGUUGCUGGCAAAGCUGGUGAAAACACUAUCAGAAGAGCUGUCUUAAAGAAAGCAGAGAUGGGGGAAGCUCAGCAUCUCAGAGACCCACAGGAAUCUGAGGAGACCUUCACAUUCAUGAUGCUCGGAUGAUGUGUGCCGACCACUGCUGGCAGACGUGGGAUAUAUGCCACUUGAAGAGCACCAGUAUGGACCCAGGAAUGACUGAAAGGCAGUAAAGGGCACACUAGGACUCUGUACGAAGAGAGAGAAGAAGAUACAGCGUCUUGCUAUGUGUGAUUCUCUUUCUUCCUUCCUAUGUGGAUAGCUGCAGUGGUGUCAGUUUGUUCCCAACAUACCAGACAGAGACAGCAAUUUUCACCAGAGAAGAUCUCGAUGUGUUUUGUGCUAGAUCUGACUUUAAUUAAGUGUAGACCAUGCUCCCAUCAGUGCUGGAAUUGGCCCGUGUAACUUGCUUUAGCUAAUGAAAUGUUACCAAACACAACAUGAUCAAAGGCUUGAGAGAUGAUUUCCCUCCUGUGCUUCCGCAAUUGCCAUGGCAAGAACAUGGUCUGGUGGUCCCUGAUCCCUAAAGAAUGAAAGAUACAUGGAAAAGGCUUGGCAUAAAUGUGCAGUUUGGAGUCAAGCCCAACCUAGAUCAGACAACAUUUAGCCAACCUUCAGAUUCAUGAACAAUAAUAAAUAAUUUUUGUUUUAAUUCACUGCAUUUUGAGAUAAUUUAUUAUUCAGCACUUUGAUAACGAAAGAUGACUGAUGUGAGUAGAAAACCAUAGCUGAAUCACUCCUUUAGACAUCUUGAGGCUUCUCUCUCCAUUACCUCGCCAAAUUCUAGAGAAUAUAUUUGCUCAAUAGAGAUUGAGAAAACAAAAAAUGUAGGAUGUUGGGUACAGAGAUUAAGGGCACACUCAUUGCCUUCAAGGAACUCACAGUCCUGUUGGAGAGGCAGAUAAGUAAACUGACGAAUACAGUAAGAUGUUACAUGUGCUUUGAUAGGCUGAGGUCACACAUAGAUGGGCAGUUAUGAGGGAUACCCGAACAAAUCUAGCAGGUAAGUGAACUCACUGAAAAACUUUUAAGAAAUGGUAAUGUUAAGCUGAGUUUUGACAGAUCAGUAAGAAAUAAUCAAAUGUAGAGACAGUAAAGGUGAUAAAGCAGAACAAGUAAUAUGUGCAAUCUCUUGAGUAAAAGAAAGCAUGGCAUAAUGAAAUAUAGAAAAUAUCUCAGACUUUGAAACCAGAAGCAUAGUGGGUUUACAUCUUGAUUCCACCACUUACCAACUAUACUAAUU